AGAAUUUUAAGUUAUAUAAACUAAGAGCCUUCAAAGCUUUAAAAAAAAGUUUAAUCUUUUAAAUUCUA
This 68-nucleotide transfer RNA is filed under the name Metopograpsus quadridentatus. Its description in RNAcentral is "tRNA-Trp". Lineage: Eukaryota; Metazoa; Arthropoda; Malacostraca; Decapoda; Grapsidae. The record is from RNAcentral.